CUGCUGCCUCCCGUAGGAGUUUGGGCCGUGUCUCAGUCCCAAUGUGGCCGUCCACCCUCUCAGGCCGGCUACUGAUCGUCGCUUUGGUAGGCCGUUACCCUGCCAACUGGCUAAUCAGACGCGGGCCCAUCUUAUACCACCGGAGUUUUUCACCCUGGGCCAUGCGGCCCUGGGCGCUUAUGCGGUCUUAGCACCUAUUUCUAAGUGUUAUCCCCCUGUAUAAGGCAGGUUACCCACGCGUUACUCACCCGUCCGCCACUAAAGUAAAAAUUG
This 273-nucleotide ribosomal RNA is filed under the name uncultured bacterium. RNAcentral describes it as "partial 16S ribosomal RNA". The record is from RNAcentral.